RNAcentral lists this ribosomal RNA (786 nucleotides) under uncultured Neocallimastigales. RNAcentral describes it as "partial large subunit ribosomal RNA". It matches the Rfam family "Eukaryotic large subunit ribosomal RNA", at positions 25 to 628 of the family's 3401-position model. Lineage: Eukaryota; Fungi; Neocallimastigomycota; Neocallimastigomycetes; Neocallimastigales. The record is from RNAcentral.
ACACUGACGUCGCGACGCAUAUCAAUAAGCGGAGGAAAAGAAACUAACAUAGGAUUCCCUCAGUAACGGCGAGUGAAGCGGGAAGAGCUCAAAUUUGAAAUCUUCAAGGUUCUACCUUGACGAAUUGUAGUUUAAAGAAGUGUUUUCUGUUAGGGAGUUUGGUAAAAGUUCUUUGGAAUAGGACAUCAUAGAGGGUGAGAAUCCCGUAUUUGACCAUUAUUUCUAGCUGUGUGAUACACUUUCAAAGAGUCGGAUUGUUUGGGAAUGCAGUCCAAAAUGAGUGGUAAAUUUCAUCUAAAGCUAAAUAUUGGCGAGAGACCGAUAGCGAACAAGUACCGUGAGGGAAAGAUGAAAAGAACUUUGAAAAGAGAGUUAAACAGUACGUGAAAUUGUCAAAAGGGAAGCGUUUGACACCAGUGUUGUUUUUCUCGAAAAUCAAUUAUAAAAUGUUUUGUUUCUGAUGAGUGAUGACCUUCAUCGGCUUCCUUCUCUCUUUCACUGAUAACUUUUUGUAAUGCACUUUUCGGUUAACAAGUCAACAUCAGUUUCUUUUGUUGUAAAAGGAGUCAUUCGGAAGGUGGCUUUCUUUCGGAGAAAGUGUUUAUAGCCCUAUACUUCUAGCAAUCGGAGAGAUUGAGGUCUGCAGCGUAGAUCCUUCGGGGUUAGAUACACUUGUGCUAAGUUAUAGCUUUUCAUAGACAACUUGUUGACUAUGUUUAGUCUUGUAGACUUACUCGCUUAUGCUAUUUUACCUACGCUUAGGAUGUUGAGUCGUAGAGCACGCAG